Macaca mulatta (Rhesus monkey) is the source of this 1723-nucleotide long non-coding RNA. Lineage: Eukaryota; Metazoa; Chordata; Mammalia; Primates; Cercopithecidae. The record is from Ensembl.
GGAUUUCUCUCAAGAGAUAGGCUGGCUUCACGUGCAAUUCUUGGUGCUCUCUUUGGGAUAAGUAUCUAUUGUACCUUCUAGAGCUGGUAAUUGCAAUGUGACCACCAUGGACACCCAUUAGCAUGCCUGCUCCACCCCUUCUUUGGGUACAUUGUCCCUCUGGUCCCCCAAACAGAGACCUGGGGACUUCCUUCACACUCUCCUCUCCCUUCUUCCCCACAUCCAAAUGGUGAUCAGGAUUUGCCUUUACCCGGGAACCUCCUCUCCAUGCACAGCCCAUUCUCGACUCAGGUUCUCCUUAUUUCUCACCUGGAUUAAUGCUAUGGUUUUUCCUCAACAUCUAUGCUUGGCCUCUUUUGUGGGAGGCUUUUCUUGUCCACUUGCAUCCCUCAGUCUUGGCAGAACUGCAUCUUAUCCCAUGUACACUGAUUACAUAUUUAAUUUUGUCUCUUUCUCCAAUUCACCAUAAGCUUCUUGAGGAUGAGGACUGUGUUUUAUCCUUGAAUGGUCAGCUCUGAACAAUGCCCGACACAUCACUGAUACUCAUGGUCUGUUGAGUAAAUGGAGGAUGAUUUGCAGUUGGUGCUGUGUUCUGUGUUCCUGGGGGAAUCUUGUCCUGAGGGAUGUGAGCGUGAAUACACAGCUUCUCCAUCUGUGGCUUUGGGGAUUCUUCCUCCUCAUUUAUGGGCGUCGGCGCUAACCAGCUCUGGAAACGGCUCGCUCGGAGGAGCAGACCCAGCUGUGCAGCGAUGUGCGGCGUCGCCGCAUGUGCCCCGUGGGGUGCAGCAUGAGUCUUCCUUUGUGGCGUGCGGCUCCAUCGGAACGCGCGUUGUGACGACAAAUUCCAUCCCUCCCCACCCCCAAGCCGCAGUUAACAGUGCUGGGGCAGAGACUGGUGGAGGGGCCCAGAGCCCACGUAGACCGAGAUGAAGAUGAGGAAGAUCAUGAGCAGGAAGAGGCUGGCGGCCGCGGCGGCCACAGGGAAGAGCUCGGUGCGCGGCGCAGCCUCCCGCGACCGCGACUCCUGGGCUGCGUAGAGGAGCCGCGUUGCCAUAGGAACCGUGGCGGCGCCCCCAGCGAAACCCUGCGUUUGUGACAGGAGAAGCUAACCGCGGCCGCCCACUCCCACCCGCGCUUCCUCCCCGCCCCCACCCGCAGUGCGCGAAAAGCAGAGAUCCGAGAACCGCGUGCAGUACAAACGGCAAACGCUUCUCACAAAUUUCCCGGGGGCUGAGCGCGCGGCCGCAGGCCGGGAACCCACCGCUCUCAGGCUCCCAGCCCCGGCGCUACGACCCCGUGGGCGCCGCCUGCGCAGCCCCUCCUUCCAGCCCGCUCGGGCGCAUCCCCCAGGCCGGGGCAGCGAUGCGGACACCGGGAGCCCCUCCCGCCGGUCCCGGCUUUGGCCGACACCCGGGGACCAUGGAGUGGCAAAAGAACCGCAACGCGGCGCCUGGCCGACCGCGGACGAAGUUCGAGGCCGGAGGGCGUUUUAUUUUUGCAAAAUUGCCCCAAAGCCAGGGCCUCAUGUACUCACUGUCUCCUUUGCCCCGCAUGCUCCAAGAAAAUAAGAGACAUUCUACCCCGAGUCCUAAUUAUUGGGUCAUUUCCUUAAUGCGCCGUGUGUCCCCGUAGCCAGAAACACACUGCGAGAUGCAGUGUUUGGGUAAUUAACAAAGAGACGAGACCUGACGGGGCUUCCGAAACGCUAGAUACUGCGGCCCGG